UGGCUCUCGCAUCGAUGGAGAACGCAGCGAAAUGCGAUACGUAAUGUGAAUUGCAGAAUUCAGUGAAUCAUCGAAUCUUUGAACGCAUAUUGCACUCUCUGGUACUCCGGGGAGUAUGCCUGUUUCAGUAUUAGAAAAACCAUCGAAAUCUUUCUUGCUUUUUUUAAGUGAGACGGAAUCGGAUCUGGGUAUUGUGCGUGCAUGGACACUCUCGUAGUGACCAAAAGUCGUACUGGCCUGAAAUGCAAUCGUGGGUAGUAAUCCAGAUUUUCACCCUUGGCCUUGGAGAAGGCGUCAUAGUUGACCGAUGGUCAUCUUUCGCUGAACUUCUUGGCUAAAAAGGGACUGGGACUUGUCCGCGCGGGUGGCUCCCUUUUUUUGGGCGCAACCGGAAACAACUUUUUUUCAAUUUAAUCUGAAAUCAGGUAGGAAUACCCGCUGA
This 442-nucleotide unclassified non-coding RNA is filed under the name uncultured fungus. Its description in RNAcentral is "partial contains 5.8S ribosomal RNA and internal transcribed spacer 2". The stretch from base 1 to 133 matches the Rfam family "5.8S ribosomal RNA", at positions 22 to 154 of the family's 154-position model. Lineage: Eukaryota; Fungi. The record is from RNAcentral.